GACGAACGCUGGCGGUGUGCUUAACACAUGCAAGUCGAACGGUAAGGCCCUUUCGGGGGUACACGAGUGGCGAACGGGUGAGUAACACGUGAGUAACCUGCCCUCAUCUCUGGGAUAACAGUCGGAAACGGUUGCUAAUACUGGAUAUGAGCUUGCAAGGCAUCUUGUGGGUUGGAAAGAUUUUUUUUGGUUGGGGAUGGACUCGCGGCCUAUCAGCUUGUUGGUGAGGUAGUGGCUCACCAAGGCUUCGACGGGUAGCCGGCCUGAGAGGGCGGCCGGCCACAUUGGGACUGAGAUACGGCCCAAACUCCUACGGGAGGCAGCAGUGGGGAAUAUUGCACAAUGGACGGAAGUCUGAUGCAGCAACGCCGCGUGCGGGAUGACGGCCUUCGGGUUGUAAACCGCUUUCAAUUGUGACGAAGCUUUUUUGUGACGGUAGCAGUAGAAGAAGCACCGGCUAACUACGUG
Molecule: ribosomal RNA, 468 nt
Filed under: uncultured bacterium
Lineage: Bacteria
Description: partial 16S ribosomal RNA
Rfam family: Bacterial small subunit ribosomal RNA
Source: RNAcentral